RNAcentral lists this ribosomal RNA (512 nucleotides) under uncultured Gram-positive bacterium. RNAcentral describes it as "bacterial SSU rRNA". It matches the Rfam family "Bacterial small subunit ribosomal RNA", at positions 8 to 521 of the family's 1533-position model. The record is from RNAcentral.
AGAGUUUGAUCCUGGCUCAGGAUGAACGCUGGCGGCGUGCCUAACACAUGCAAGUCGAGCGAGAAGCUCGUGACGGACGCUUCGGUUGAAGUCACGAGUGGAAAGCGGCGGACGGGUGAGUAACGCGUAGGCAACCUGCCCUUUGCAGAGGGAUAGCCUCGGGAAACCGGGAUUAAAACCUCAUAAUACCGCAGUGAGACAUCUCACGGCGGUCAAAGAUUUAUCGGCAAAGGAUGGGCCUGCGUCUGAUUAGUUAGUUGGUGGGGUAACGGCCUACCAAGGCGACGAUCAGUAGCCGACCUGAGAGGGUGAUCGGCCACAUUGGAACUGAGACACGGUCCAAACUCCUACGGGAGGCAGCAGUGGGGAAUAUUGCACAAUGGGGGAAACCCUGAUGCAGCAACGCCGCGUGAAGGAUGAAGGCCUUUGGGUCGUAAACUUCUGUUCUAAGGGAAGAUAGUGACGGUACCUUAGGAGCAAGUCCCGGCUAACUACGUGCCAGCAGCCGCGGU